This 497-nucleotide ribosomal RNA is filed under the name uncultured bacterium. RNAcentral describes it as "partial 16S ribosomal RNA". It matches the Rfam family "Bacterial small subunit ribosomal RNA", at positions 28 to 507 of the family's 1533-position model. The record is from RNAcentral.
GAUGAACGCUGGCGGCGUGCCUAAUACAUGCAAGUCGAGCGAACGGACGAGAAGCUUGCUUCUCUGAUGUUAGCGGCGGACGGGUGAGUAACACGUGGAUAACCUACCUAUAAGACUGGGAUAACUUCGGGAAACCGGAGCUAAUACCGGAUAAUAUUUUGAACCGCAUGGUUCAAAAGUAAAAGACGGUCUUGCUGUCACUUAUAGAUGGAUCCGCGCUGCAUUAGCUAGUUGGUAAGGUAACGGCUUACCAAGGCAACGAUGCAUAGCCGACCUGAGAGAGUGAUCGGCCACACUGGAACUGAGACACGGUCCAGACUACUACGGGAGGCAGCAGUAGGGAAUCUUCCGCAAUGGGCGAAAGCCUGACGGAGCAACGCCGAGUGAGUGAUGAAGGUCUUCGGAUCGUAAAACUCUGUUAUUAGGGAAGAACAUAUGUGUAAGUAACUGUGCACAUCUUGACGGUACCUAAUCAGAAAGCCACGGCUAACUACGUG